AAGAUGAAAGAAAGCUUGCCCACCAAGAAGUUUACAAAACCAAGGGCACAAAAUAUCCUUUAGGCACUCGUAUAAAAGUCACAUAAAGUUGUGGUAGGCGUUUUAUUUUGGUGUCGUUGGGCAAAAAUGUCAUAAUAAUCUUUCAGCAUAUUGUAAUUGAAGUGUUCUGAGAGAAAACUAGACUUCUACAUCUCCUCUUGGCUCUGUUUUAGGCUUUAGAAAAUCUAUCCUGUGAUGCCAAUCACAUUUCAGAGAGAGAGAGAGAGAAAGAGAGAGCAUUCCUAUUGUCUGUUCUCUGUGAGUAAGAUUUUGCUUGUUUUAGUGAUGUGAAUGCUGCUGUGUUCUUGCUAACUUCAGUUGGAUACUGAAGAAAUCCACCCACCUUUAAAUUGUGACCUUACUGUAUAAUAUACACAGUCUUAUAAAUGCUAUUUUCUGACCUAUUGUUAGAAAUUGUUUUAAUUUUUUAUCUUGUAAUGUGUCAUGGUUGAAAUAAGAAAAUGAUAAUUACAUUCUUGUUUUUCACGUUUUUGUAAAACGUUUUUUUUAAACAGAAAAUACAAAGUCCAAAGUAAUGCAUUUUCAUAUGCAAAUCUAAUAAUGUUAGUGAGUUCCACAUUACUGCACAACACUAGUAUCACUCUUCUAUCAGUGAUAACAAGAGGACCCAAGAUAUUUAUGAAGAGGCUCAUGUUGCUACUGACAAGAGAACAGUUUUGUGUUUAUACGGCCUCAACUGUCAUUAAAUGUUAGAAACUCUUCUCGCCUGAUGGAUGUUUUUAUCCUGUUGACUUUUUCAGUCAAGUUGUUGUCACCAGGAGUUAAAUCCUGGGUAACGCCUUGCAGUGUCUUUAGGGGAGAGCCAAUGAAUGGAUUCAGGUUUUACAGCAUUUUUUUGUGUUAAGCAGUUGAUGACAAAAUUCCAAAAGACUUUUAGUCGUUUUACAGCUUCAGAGUCACCAGGGUGUCCAACUCCAUCAGGUUCAUUGUUCACUGUGUGUGGCUGAAGUAGUCCAACAUCCGAUGGCAGCACAACCCUUAAAAGACUGGAGCAGUGAUCUCUUUGACUGCUUUGAAAACUCAAGUAGUUGUUGCUAUGGUUUCUGGUGCUGCCCUUGCCUUGCCUGCACAGUUUCAGAAAGAUUUGGAGAGAACCGUUGUCUCCCAUUAUGUGACAUAUGCAGCCCUGCCAUAUUAUCAGCCUUGGGGAUAACUCUGUGUGCGGCCCCUCCUGCAGGCCUGUCCUUAAGGGCUGCCAUGCGAAAUAGAUAUGGUAUCAAGGGUUCUCUCUGUAAGGACAUCUUAGUUUCCUGUUUCUGCGGGUGGUGCAACUGGUGUCAGAUGCAUCGUGAGUUAAGACAUCG
RNA transcript from Sander lucioperca (pikeperch), 1364 nucleotides. It is a transcript of the gene named vegetative cell wall protein gp1-like, with no coding region annotated. The record is from RefSeq and is a predicted model, not a curated record. The transcript has 4 exons. Lineage: Eukaryota; Metazoa; Chordata; Actinopteri; Perciformes; Percidae.